GAAAUGCGAUAAGUAAUGUGAAUUGCAGAAUUCAGUGAAUCAUCGAAUCUUGAACGCACAUUGCGCCCGCCAGUAUUCUGGCGGGCAUGCCUGUCCGAGCGUCAUUUCAACCAUCAAGCCCCCGGGCUUGUGUUGGGGACCUGCGGCUGCCCGCAGGCCCUGAAAACCAGUGGCGGGCUCGCUGUCACACCGAGCGUAGUAGCAAUCACCUCGCUCAGGGCGUGCUGCGGGUUCCGGCCGUUAAACAGCCUUACAAAACCCAAGGUUGACCUCGGAUCAGGUAGGAAUACCCGCUGAACUUAAGC
RNAcentral lists this unclassified non-coding RNA (305 nucleotides) under plant metagenome. Its description in RNAcentral is "partial contains 5.8S ribosomal RNA, internal transcribed spacer 2, and large subunit ribosomal RNA". The stretch from base 1 to 104 matches the Rfam family "5.8S ribosomal RNA", at positions 50 to 154 of the family's 154-position model. The record is from RNAcentral.